This 460-nucleotide ribosomal RNA is filed under the name uncultured bacterium. RNAcentral's name for it is "partial 16S ribosomal RNA". It matches the Rfam family "Bacterial small subunit ribosomal RNA", at positions 338 to 795 of the family's 1533-position model. The record is from RNAcentral.
CCUACGGGUGGCAGCAGUGAGGAAUAUUGGUCAAUGGACGCAAGUCUGAACCAGCCAUGCCGCGUGCAGGAAGACGGCCCUAUGAGUUGUCAACUUCUUUUGUACGAGAGUAAACGCAGAUACGCUUAUCUUUCUUUAAUUAUCGUACGAAUAAGGAUCGGCUAACUCCGUGCCAGCAGCCGCGGUAAUACGGAGGAUUCAAGCGUUAUCCGGAUUUAUUGGGUUUAAAGGGUGCGUAGGCGGUCGGCUAAGUUAGAGGUGAAAGCCAGAGGCUCAACUUCGGAAUUGCCUCUGAUACUGGUCGGCUAGAGAGUAGUAGCGGUAGGCGGAAUGUAUGGUGUAGCGGUGAAAUGCGUAGAGAUCAUACAGAACACCGAUUGCGAAGGCAGCUUACCAAGCUACAUCUGACGUUGAGGCACGAAAGCGUGGGGAGCAAACAGGAUUAGAUACCCGUGUAGUC